RNAcentral lists this small RNA (28 nucleotides) under Bombyx mori (domestic silkworm). RNAcentral's name for it is "ovarian small RNA-8403". The record is from RNAcentral. Lineage: Eukaryota; Metazoa; Arthropoda; Insecta; Lepidoptera; Bombycidae.
UGAUUCGAUGGACCCAAUUUUCUAUGAC